UACGAAGGGGGCGAGCGUUGUUCGGAUUUACUGGGCGUAAAGGGCGCGCAGGCGGCCCUCCAAGUCAGGCGUGAAAGCCCCGGGCUCAACCUGGGAACAGCGCCUGGGACUGGGGGGCUGGAGAUCGGGAGAGGAGCGUGGAAUUCCCAGUGUAGAGGUGAAAUUCGUAGAUAUUGGGAAGAACACCGGUGGCGAAGGCGGCGCUCUGGACCGAUACUGACGCUGAGGCGCGAAAGCGUGGGGAGCAAACAGG
RNAcentral lists this ribosomal RNA (253 nucleotides) under uncultured bacterium. RNAcentral's name for it is "partial 16S ribosomal RNA". It matches the Rfam family "Bacterial small subunit ribosomal RNA", at positions 524 to 776 of the family's 1533-position model. The record is from RNAcentral.